UUAUUUGGGGGUGGUUGUGUAUGAAAUACCAAAAUGCAAAGGGAGUGUUGUUCUUAUUAAUUUUUAAUUCUGUCGGUGCUGGGAUUUUUUUUUAAAAGGGCUUAGGGCUGUCCCUUAGGGGCGGACAUAGUAUUUUCUGGAACAGACAUAAUUUUAUUAACACAUGUUCAAUUUAACAACAAAUUUAUUUUUUAAAUAAGAACAAAGGUUAAUC
This 214-nucleotide long non-coding RNA is filed under the name Mytilus galloprovincialis (Mediterranean mussel). The record is from RNAcentral. Lineage: Eukaryota; Metazoa; Mollusca; Bivalvia; Mytilida; Mytilidae.